AACGAACGCUGGCGGCAUGCCUAACACAUGCAAGUCGAACGAGACCUUCCGGUCUAGUGGCGCACGGGUGCGUAACGCGUGGGAACCUGCCCUUUGGUUCGGAAUAAAUCCCCGAAAGGGGUGCUAAUACCGGAUAAUGUCUUCGGACCAAAGAUUUAUCGCCUUUGGAUGGGCCCGCGUUGGAUUAGCUAGUUGGUAGGGUAAAAGCCUACCAAGGCGACGAUCCAUAGCUGGUCUGAGAGGAUGAUCAGCCACACUGGGACUGAGACACGGCCCAGACUCCUACGGGAGGCAGCAGUGGGGAAUAUUGGACAAUGGGCGAAAGCCUGAUCCAGCAAUGCCGCGUGAGUGAUGAAGGCCUUAGGGUUGUAAAGCUCUUUUACCCGGGAUGAUAAUGACAGUACCGGGAGAAUAAGCUCCGGCUAACUCCGUG
Molecule: ribosomal RNA, 433 nt
Filed under: uncultured bacterium
Lineage: Bacteria
Description: partial 16S ribosomal RNA
Rfam family: Bacterial small subunit ribosomal RNA
Source: RNAcentral